This 209-nucleotide unclassified non-coding RNA is filed under the name Hevea brasiliensis (rubber tree). The record is from RNAcentral. Lineage: Eukaryota; Viridiplantae; Streptophyta; Magnoliopsida; Malpighiales; Euphorbiaceae.
UGAAAAAAUUAAUGCAUAUUUUUUUGGAAAAACUUAAUUUACUAGUUUUAAUUUUUUUUGAAAGUCAAGUCUCUAAAUUAGAAGAAUUUGACGAAAAGGAAGAAAAAGUGACUAAUAAACCAAAAAUCAAAGGUCUUCAUGUAAAACUUUGAGUGAUUAUUCUUUCAUUUUUUUAAAAUAAAUAAGUUUUUUUUAUAUGAAAUAUUUUA